Molecule: RNA transcript, 957 nt
Organism: Daucus carota subsp. sativus
Lineage: Eukaryota; Viridiplantae; Streptophyta; Magnoliopsida; Apiales; Apiaceae
Exons: 3
Source: RefSeq, a predicted model, not a curated record
AUUGUAACAUAUCUCUACACUGUCUAUAAAUACAACUACAUCUUUCUGCUCACUGCAAACAAAUACAUCCAUCUUCUAUAUUGAUCUUAUCAACUUGGUUUCCCUGCAAAACACAUAGCAAUGGCCGUUCUCAAAGUUGUGAUUGCUGCACUCUUUGUCUCUCUGUUUGUUCUCCAUCUUGUUCACGCAACAGAUAUGGGGAGCAACUCGGAGUCAUCAGUGACAAGUUAUCCGAAGGGAAAAAUGGAUUGUGGAGGAGCAUGCGCAGCAAGGUGCAUAUUAUCAUCUAGGCCGAGAUUGUGUAAGAGGGCUUGUGGAACAUGUUGCGCACGCUGUAACUGCGUCCCGGCAGGAACGUCCGGCAACUUGGACACUUGUGCUUGUUAUGCCAAUAUGACCACUCACAAUUAGGGCUGGCAAUAUCAGACACGACCCGAACUCGACCCGAACCCGACCCAAACCCGUAACCCGAUUUACUGAGACAAAAUCCGAAAGUGACCCGAAAAUCACCCGUUUUGACACGAAAUGGACCCGACAUGACCCGAAAUUCUAAUUUCGUUUCUAAUAACUUCAAUUUUCAGUUUUAUUCAAUUUAAAGUGAUUUUAGCUUGACCCGAAAUCGACUCGAAAUUGACCCGAUUGCAGACACGAACACGACCCGUUACCCGAAACUGCCACCCCUACUCACAAUAACAAGCGCAAGUGCCCCUAAACUCAACUUAUAUAAUUAAUCCCAAGUAAUUAGCUUAAUCUCCGAUGAUUAAUCGUCAAUAAAUGGGCUUUAUAGUUCAUACAUGUUUUCUUUCUUCCGGUGCUCUUGUUCAGUAUGUAUGUAUAUUCUAUUAAAGUUUUCAUUUGAUAAUUAUGUGCUAGCUAGCUACUAGCUAGCUCAUUUUGUAUUGUUUGUAAUCUAUUAAUAUUAUUAAUGAUAUAAAUGAUGAGCUUGUCAAAGUUAAA